UUUCCCAUUCCUCUCUUUUUUUCUCUCAUCCUCUGACACCCUACUAUCUCACAAACCUAGAACUAGAUCGUGCAAAGUCAUUCAAAGACAAGUAAGAGCUUCAUCAUUUCCCUCUUUCAACCGCGAAUCUAAUCGAACCUACCUUAUUCAUCAUCCAAUUAUAAAACUCAAUCCCCAAAACCCUAAUCCUAAAUGUCAAAGGGCGAGAAUCUAAUCAUUCCUCUCCUUUGCUCAUUCAAAUCGGCACAUGCAACUACAAAUCUUUGAUAUGACCAUGACAGUUUUUAGUCCAAAGGUCUAACGCAGUGACUAAUAGAUUUUGGUUUUAACUGGUGGUCCAUUUUUCUUCUACAACCAAUUCAUUCAUUAUUUCAAAUAAGUAAACUCUCCUUCUAAUUUUUCCCUCUAUUUUUCUCAUAUUUUACCCUCUUGUUCUCAUCAGUGUUUAUCGUCACCUUCUAGUAAUUUUUUCGAAAUUCAAUUAGAACCCUAUGUCUUGAUUGCAACUAUAAAUAGGGGGCUUUAGUGCCCUCAUCAAACACACGAACUACUUUAAGAAUUCUAUUAAAUGUUCUCCAUUUAAAUACUCUAAAAGUUCUUCACUGGUUUCCUUUCUUUCUUUUAUUUUUGCUCGAGUUCAACAACUGAGAAUUGAUUGUGAGCUUUGGUCCCUAAACAACUAAAAACUCCUACUUGGUUUGCUACCCCGAAGAGGGUUAGUAGACUGCUGACCUCCCUUUAAUUGUUUGGUUAUUUCAUGUGUUAUUACAGAGUUUUUUUUUCUAUUAAUCGCUUGCAUGCUCUUCUUCAUGACACACAUCGGCCAAGUAUGUGACCUUCAAUUUUGUUUUUGAUGCUUGUGUUGUUCUUCACUUAAUUAACUGAUAUUUCUUGCUAAUUGUUGUGUUUAUUCCCUAUGUUGUUGUUUAAAUCAACUUCUUAUAGUGAUCAGUGAGUUAUGUUUCUCACAAGUAUAUUACCAUUUUUGUAUUGCUAACUAAUUGAAAUGAUUUUUGUGCUUAUUAUUGUGAUCACUGUGAACAGUCCUGUUUAAUUUCUUACGUGGAUUUAAUUAAUUGAUCUCUAUGUUGUAAACAAUGUUUUCUACAUAUUAUUGCUAUGUUAAUUUAGUGAUGCUUAUUUAUUUCCAUACUUAUAUUAUAUGUUGAUUAAGCUGAUUGAAUGAUGUUCAUAAACCUUCAUGUUAUCCUGUUUAAUUAACUGAAAAAAUCCUUAUGCUUAUAUCAUUAUGUUUUCCUGCUUGAAUGAUCCUCAUGUUUAUAGUAUCAUGUUUCUUUUGUUUAGAUAAUUAAAAUGACCCUCAUUGAUAGUUAUUCCUACAUUACCAUGUUCAUUUGCGUGGUUAAAUGAUUUCAAUUAACAGUUAUAUUUAUGGUACUAUGUUAAAAUGAUUUAUGUUAGCAAACAUGCGUGUUUACCAUGAUAAAUUGAACAGAAGGGGAAGUAUAAGACAAACUAUGUUGGCAUUAUUUACUUUAGAGUUCAAUCGUGAUCUUGUUUUCAUGACUAUAAUGAUGAGUUGCAAUCACAUGCCGCUUUUGCCUAAGCUAGUUGUAAGUAAGUAUUUCUCGUUAUCUAAUGAUCAUUUAACACUGUCCAAAAAGUUUUCAUUGAUAUUUUGGAGUAUUGGUGAUCUUGAUAGCUUGGAAUGUUUCACUGGAUGUUGUUAAUUCUCAAUAUGUAUUAUUAUGUUAGAUGUCAUGACAAAAGGAUUCAUAUAGCGAGUCAUAAAGUUAAACCUCCUAUUCAGACUUAAUGUCCAGGUUAUUCUGAUGUGGCGACUCAACUAGUCGUCUCAUGAGUUAUCACUCCGUUUCCCCCAUUUCAACUUCUUAUUGCUUUGUUCAGUUGUAUUUCAUGUCAUCGGGUUGAUCGAUUCGGGUUCGGAGAGGUUUUGGCAAGGUUUGAGAUAUUUAGUCUCUUUUGAGGGAGCUUAAGUUGAAAAAGUCAACCAGAUGUUGAAUUAAAUGUUAGAGGGCUCGAAUGUGAGUUCCAAUGGUUUAUAUAGCUUUGAGAGAUGAUUUGGGACUUAGGAGCGUGAUGGAAAUGUAUUUUGGAGGUCCGAAGUAGAUUUAGGCUUGAAUUGGUGAAUUGGAUUUUUAACGUUUUCCGGUUGAUAGGUGAUAUUUUGAUACAGGGAUCGGAAUGGAAUUCCGAGAGUUGUAGUAGUUUUGUUGUGUCAUUUUGAAUGUGUGCAAAAUUUUAGGUCAUUCAGACGUGGUUUGGUUGAGUUUUUUAUCAAAAGCUAAAUUUAGAAGUUCUUGGAUUCUUAGGCUUGAAUCUGAUGUAAUUUUGGUGUUUUGAUGUUGUUUUUGGCAUUCCGAAGGUUGGAACAAGUUUGAAUAAGGUUAUGGGAUAUGUUGGCAUGCUUGGUUGGGGUGCCGAUGGCCUCGGGUGUAUUUUGAAUAGUUGAACGGACCAUUUUAAGUUAAAGGAAAGUUGCAGAUUUUGGUUUCAGCUGUUGCAGGCAUUUUGUUCUUCGCAUUCGCGAGGGACCCUCGCGUUCGCGAAGGGUGAAGAAGGGAGGCAUCAUAUUUGGCCUUCAUGUUUGCGAGGGGGUCCCGCGUUUGCGAAGAGUCGGAAUGGGAAGCAUUCCGUUUGAGAGAUGCCUGACCGCGUUCGCGAUGGUUGGUGAGGCUGAGGCAUCGCGUACGUGAUGAUGCGAUCGCGUUCGCGUAGGAGAAUUUUGGACAAUGGAAUUUUGUGCUUCGCGAACGUGAGGCUUUGAACGCGUUCGCGAAGAAGGACUUCUGAUCGCUGGGCACAAUGUUUAAAAGGCCAUUUUUGCGAGUUUUGGCCUAAGUUCACCAUUUUUACUCGGUUUUUAGCUUUUUAGAGAGAUUGAAGAGGGAAUCAAGGAGAACUUGUUAAAGGUAAGAAUUUUGAACAUAAUGCUCGAUCCUAUUGUUAUUUCUACCUAAUUAAAGAUGAAAUUUGGGGAAUUUGAAGCCUAAAUUGGGGAGUUAGAGCUUGGAAACUUGAGACUUUAAUCUAGGUAUUUUAGGGGCCAUUUGUGGUCGCAUUUUGGUAUUCUUGGUAUGUAUGAACUCGUAGGAGGAUAAGGAUUCCAUUGACGUGAUUUUUAUCGAGUUUUGAGACGUGGGCCCGGGGGUCGAGUUUGGCCAAUUUCGGGAUUUUUGGUACAAUUUAAUUAUUUUCGCUUGGGCUUCGUUCCUUUAGCAUAUUCUAAUGUUAUGAUUCUAAUUUUGGAAAGAUUCAGCGAGUUGAGGCCGAGGUGAGAGGCAAAGUCAUCGCGGAGUAGUAACUCACCCGGUUUGAGGUAAGUAACCAUUCUAAACCUGAAACUGAGGGUACUAUUUCGAAUUGUGUGGACAAAUGAGGUGACGCACAUGCUAUGUGAUGAGUGUGUGGGCGCGCACCGGUAGGGAUUGUGACUUGAUCCAUCCCGUAGCGACUAUUAAGCCGCGUAUUUGAUUUGAGAUCUUAUGAUAUUCAGUAUUUUAGACAUUUAUACUGUAUUAUGGGUUGUAUGCCAUGUUUGGGGCUAUGUGCCGACCUAUUGAGACCAUUGGGGGCAUUUUUACAGUUUUUCCUCACUCCAUUUGUUUGAAAGCAUAUCCUUAGUCAUGUUUUAUCUGUUUAUUGAUUAAAACUGGUGUUAUCACUGUACUACUUAAAAUGUGAGAACUGUUCGGACUGAGUUCCCUGAUUUCUACUGUUAUGCCGAGUGGCUGUGAGGUUAAUGAUUGAGAGAGGUUGUGACCUAAUGGUGAGGAUAUAUAUAUAUAUAUAGGUGAAAUGGCUUCGUGGCCACUUAAACUUAUAGGGCUUUUGAAAGCCGAUACACAAACUUUUAUCUUUCCCAUUUAAACACUCAAACUGGUAAAACCUACAACUAAUAAAUACCUUUGACCAGACUAUGUUUAUGUGGUGGUAGCUUAUCUUAGGUGGAUAUAGUGCGUACAAGUCACGUUCAAAUGGCUCGUGUAUCUGUUAUUAUUCAUUAAAAAGAUUGUAAAAUUAAAAAAAAUAGAAUCUAUAAGGAAAACCAAAAAAGAAGAAGAAAAUGGUGGCUGGGUUUAUUGACUCCGCCUUGUUCUGCCAGUUCCUCCAAGAAAGAGAAAUUAACCAUGGAGCUAGACUGCCGGAAUUUUUAUCAAUUCCUAUGGGAGAUAAAUUGAGAGAAAAAUUGAGGUCUAUGAAUGUUACCGGAGAAAGGAUUAGAUUUGAAGUCCUAGCGCCAAUGGCUCCGACGACGGAGAUGGCGGAUUUUCCGGGGGAGACGAUGGGGAAAAUUACAGUGAAUGAUGCUAGGAAAAUUUUGAGGUUUUAUCAGUUGGAGAAAGUGAGAUUGAGAGUUAGAGAUAUGCCGAUGAACUCCAUUUUGUACUCUAAAUUCGUUGAGUUUCUCUUCAUCUUUUAGUUCCAUAUUGAUUUUAUUCCAGUAAUUUUCUUCUUCUUUUUGUAGUUUCCCUUUCUUCUUGAGUGGCUUCUGCUCCUACAUGCUCAUCUUCCAUAUCUUUAAUCAGUUUUUUUGAAGUACCCAAGAAUACAGAGGAGAGUAUUUAUAAUUAGUGGAGGCCUCUCAGAUACUUGGUCUUUAGCAACAUAGAACAGGGUUUGGAGUUUGCAAAGAUUGUUGGACGAUUCAGGCAGCGUCAUCAUUUUUCGGUGACGUCGUUUUGCUCCGUCCCCAUCAGGUAAAAGUUGCACAACUAUGGUGAAUAAGAAAAUAAGGGAAAUAGAAGAAAAAGUAGAAAUUAAUAAAUUUAUUCACGCCCUUGACGUGUAACAAUCCCAUUGGUCAUUUGGUGAUUGGAUAGACACAUAUGUAAAUGUGUAAUACACGCACGUAGGUUCAAAGGUAAAAUGUGUUUAUUAGUUAAGGGUUUCACGAGUUUGAGUGUUCAAAUGGGAAAGUCUAAAGCUUGUGUAUCGGCUAUCAAAAGCCUUGCAAGUUUAAGUGGUCAGGAAGCCAUUACGCCAUAUAUAUAUAUAUAUAUAUAUAUAUAUAUAUAUAUAUAUAUAUAUAUANNNNNNNNNNNNNNNNNNNNNNNNNNNNNNNNNNNNNNNNNNNNNNNNNNNNNNNNNNNNNNNNNNNNNNNNNNNNNNNNNNNNNNNNNNNNNNNNNNNNNNNNNNNNNNNNNNNNNNNNNNNNNNNNNNNNNNNNNNNNNNNNNNNNNNNNNNNNNNNNNNNNNNNNNNNNNNNNNNNNNNNNNNNNNNNNNNNNNNNNNNNNNAUAUAUUAUGGAUCGGGAUGCACGCCGUAGCGAUACUUAUAUGGACUGGCUAAAUGCCGCAGUGAUAUAUAUAUUGGAUUGGGUUGUGCGCCACAACAAUAUGACGUUUGGGCUGUAGGAGCCCCUCCAAAGUCUGUACACCCCCAGUGAGAGUAGUCGACUAUAAAAAAUGGAUCGGGCUGCACACCACGGCGAUACUAUGAUUAUUACUAUAUGAGAUAUAAUUGAGCUUGAGUGCUGAGAGUGAGUACUGAGUGACGAGAGCAAAGUCACGAGUGACUGAGAGGCUGCCUGAGAGGCCAUAUUCUGAGUGAUACCUCGCCCGAGGGGCCCAUUUAUGAUAUUUUCAGUGAUUUCACUCUUCUUUUAAAAUAAGCCUCUAUUGAAAAAUUCUUAAGUAAAUGAUUUCAAGUAUUCCAAUUGAAACUAAAGAUAUUGUGACGAGAUUGGUUUUAAACUAUGGAGUUUGAUCAGUUAUUCUGUUGUUUACUCCUUUAUAUGAUUUUAAUUGCUCAUCGCUGCUUUCAGACCUUAUUUACUUUAGUUAAUUACUGAGUUGGCGCACUCACGUUACUCUCUGCACCUUGUGUGAAGAUCCAGGUGCCCGAGCGUCAGAGUGAGGGUCCUCAACAUUAUU
RNAcentral lists this long non-coding RNA (5858 nucleotides) under Nicotiana tabacum (common tobacco). Its description in RNAcentral is "long non-coding RNA (NTAB_LNC010424)". The record is from RNAcentral. Lineage: Eukaryota; Viridiplantae; Streptophyta; Magnoliopsida; Solanales; Solanaceae.